RNAcentral lists this small RNA (308 nucleotides) under Sinomonas atrocyanea. RNAcentral's name for it is "5' ureB small RNA". It matches the Rfam family "5' ureB small RNA". The record is from Rfam by way of RNAcentral. Lineage: Bacteria; Bacillati; Actinomycetota; Actinomycetes; Micrococcales; Micrococcaceae.
CGGUGGCGAACUGGUCGGGGCUGAUGAAGUGGAUGUGGGUGUCGAUGCCGCCGGCCGUGACGAUCCGGCCCUCGCCCGAGAUGACCUCGGUGCUGGGCCCGAUCACGAUCGUGACGCCGUCCAUGAUGUUCGGGUUGCCGGCCUUGCCGAUCGCGAGGAUGCGCCCGUCGCGCAGCCCGAGGUCCGCCUUGUAGAUCCCGGUGUAGUCGAGGACGACCACGCUCGUGAUCACCGUGUCCGCCACCGCGAGGUCUCCGGGCGCACCGUCGCGCACGGUGUUGCCGUCCUGGCCCAUGCCGUCGCGGAUG